RNAcentral lists this ribosomal RNA (497 nucleotides) under uncultured bacterium. RNAcentral describes it as "partial 16S ribosomal RNA". It matches the Rfam family "Bacterial small subunit ribosomal RNA", at positions 28 to 507 of the family's 1533-position model. The record is from RNAcentral.
GAUGAACGCUGGCGGCGUGCCUAAUACAUGCAAGUCGAGCGAACGGACGAGAAGCUUGCUUCUCUGAUGUUAGCGGCGGACGGGUGAGUAACACGUGGAUAACCUACCUAUAAGACUGGGAUAACUUCGGGAAACCGUAGCUAAUACCGGAUAAUAUUUUGAACCGCAUGGUUCAAAAGUGAAAGACGGUCUUGCUGUCACUUAUAGAUGGAUCCGCGCUGCAUUAGCUAGUUGGUAAGGUAACGGCUUACCAAGGCAACGAUGCAUAGCCGACCUGAGAGGGUGAUCGGCCACACUGGCACUGAGACACGGUCCAGACUCCGACGGGAGGCAGCAGUAGGGAAUCUUCCGCGAGGGGCGAGAGCCUGACGGAGCAACGCCGCGUGAGUGAUGAAGGUCUUCGGAUCGUAAAACUCUGUUAUUAGGGAAGAACAAAUGUGUAAGUACCUGUGCACAUCUUGACGGUACCUAAUCAGAAAGCCACGGCUAACUACGUG